This 468-nucleotide ribosomal RNA is filed under the name uncultured bacterium. RNAcentral describes it as "partial 16S ribosomal RNA". It matches the Rfam family "Bacterial small subunit ribosomal RNA", at positions 28 to 507 of the family's 1533-position model. The record is from RNAcentral.
GACGAACGCUGGCGGCGUGCUUAACACAUGCAAGUCGAACGGAAAGGCCCUGCUUUUGUGGGGUGCUCGAGUGGCGAACGGGUGAGUAACACGUGAGUAACCUGCCCUUGACUUUGGGAUAACUUCAGGAAACUGGGGCUAAUACCGGAUAGGAGCUCCUGCUGCAUGGUGGGGGUUGGAAAGUUUCGGCGGUUGGGGAUGGACUCGCGGCUUAUCAGCUUGUUGGUGGGGUAGUGGCUUACCAAGGCUUUGACGGGUAGCCGGCCUGAGAGGGUGACCGGCCACAUGGGGACUGAGAUACGGCCGAGACUCAUACGGGGGGCAACAGGGGGAAAUAGUGCACAGUGGGCGGGAGCGAGAUGCAGCAGCGCCGCGUGCGGGAUGACGGCCUGCGGGGUAUAAACCGCUUGCGCCGGAGACGAAGCGUGAGUGACGGUAAUGGGUAAAGAAGCACCGGCUAACUACGUG